CGGCGGACGGGUGAGUAACACGUGGAUAACCUACCUAUAAGACUGGGAUAACUUCGGGAAACCGGAGCUAAUACCGGAUAAUAUAUUGAACCGCAUGGUUCAAUAGUGAAAGACGGUUUUGCUGUCACUUAUAGAUGGAUCCGCGCCGCAUUAGCUAGUUGGUAAGGUAACGGCUUACAAGGCAACGAUGCGUAGCCGACCUGAGAGGGUGAUCGGCCACACUGGAACUGAGACACGGUCCAGACUCCUACGGGAGGCAGCAGUC
RNAcentral lists this ribosomal RNA (265 nucleotides) under uncultured Staphylococcus sp. RNAcentral's name for it is "partial 16S ribosomal RNA". It matches the Rfam family "Bacterial small subunit ribosomal RNA", at positions 96 to 355 of the family's 1533-position model. The record is from RNAcentral. Lineage: Bacteria; Bacillati; Bacillota; Bacilli; Caryophanales; Staphylococcaceae.